RNAcentral lists this ribosomal RNA (499 nucleotides) under uncultured Glomeromycotina. RNAcentral describes it as "partial small subunit ribosomal RNA". It matches the Rfam family "Eukaryotic small subunit ribosomal RNA", at positions 591 to 1092 of the family's 1831-position model. The record is from RNAcentral. Lineage: Eukaryota; Fungi; Glomeromycota.
CCAAUAGCGUAUAUUAAAGUUGUUGCAGUUAAAAAGCUCGUAGUUGAAUUUCGGGAUUAGUAUGUCGGUCGUGCUUCGGUACGUACUGUCAUUACUGGUUUCUCCCUUCUGAAGAACCAUGAUGUCAUUAAUUUGGUGUCUUGGGGAAUCAGGACUGUUACUUUGAAAAAAUUAGAGUGUUUAAAGCAGGCAUACGCUUGAAUACAUUAGCAUGGAAUAAUGAAAUAGGACGUUUGAUUCUAUUUUGUUGGUUUCUAGGAUCGACGUAAUGAUUAAUAGGGAUAGUUGGGGGCAUUAGUAUUCAAUUGUCAGAGGUGAAAUUCUUGGAUUUAUUGAAGACUAACUACUGCGAAAGCAUUUGCCAAGGAUGUUUUCAUUAAUCAAGAACGAAAGUUAGGGGAUCGAAGACGAUCAGAUACCGUCGUAGUCUUAACCAUAAACUAUGCCGACUAGGGAUCGGAUGAUGUUAAUUUUUUAAUGACUCAUUCGGCGCCUUACG